Molecule: ribosomal RNA, 254 nt
Filed under: uncultured prokaryote
Description: partial 16S ribosomal RNA
Rfam family: Bacterial small subunit ribosomal RNA
Source: RNAcentral
ACGGAGGAUCCAAGCGUUACCCGGAAUUAUUGGGCGUAAAGAGUAGCGUAGGCGGUUUACUAAGUGAGAUGCGAAAUCGACGGGCUCAACCCGGCGGUGGUAUUUCAAACUAGUAAACUUGAGGAUGGUAGAGGUGAGUGGAAUUGCAGGUGUAGGGGUGAAAUCCGUAGAUAUCUGCAGGAACACCAAUGGCGAAGGCAGCUCACUGGGCCAUUCCUGACGCUAAGGCACGAAAGCGUGGGGAGCGAACCGGA